Dama dama (fallow deer) is the source of this 749-nucleotide long non-coding RNA. RefSeq lists it as uncharacterized. The transcript is spliced from 3 exons. NCBI's taxonomy places the organism in Eukaryota, Metazoa, Chordata, Mammalia, Artiodactyla, Cervidae. The record is from RefSeq and is a predicted model, not a curated record.
UGCCCAGCGUACCUGGCUCUCAGCCGCGGGAAUGCCGGACUCGAGCUCACACAGAGCGCGGAAGUUGUGCAGCUCAAAGUCGGCGUCGACCUGGAGGGAAAAGGUCACCUCGGAGAGGUCCCUCCGCACACAGUACACGAGGCAGAGGACAAGCAAGGUCAAGAUGAACGCUGAUGAUGUAACAAGUCAUUCCUAGAAGAAAACAAUUCUGAAUAUUCAUUGGAAGGACUGAAGCUGAAGCUCCAAUACUUUGGCCACCUGAUGAGAACAGCCAACUCAUUGGAAAAGACCCUGAUGCUGGGAAAGAUUGAGGGCAGGAGGAGAAGGGGGUGACAGAGGAUGAGAUGGUUGGAUGGCAUCACCAAUUCAAUGGACAUGAGUUUGAGCAAACUCCAGGAGACAGUGAAGGACAGGGAAGCCUGGUGUGCUGCAGUUCAUGGGCUCACAGAGUCAGACACAACUUAUGGACUGAACAACAACAGUACAUACUGUAUAAUUAUGAUUUGAAAAAUAAAAUUAUUAGGGACAGCAUUAAAUAUUGAGCUGGCAUAAAGUUUCCAAAUAAAAUACAUUCCAAAUUUUCACUUUCUUCUGUGAAUGUAACUAUUUUUCUCUUAUUUAAAAAUUCUCUUUUGGAUGUAACUUUUUAAAUUAUUUUUAAAAUUUAUUUUUAAUUGGAAGAUAAUUUCUUUACAAUAUUGUGUUGGUUUCUGCUGUACAGUAAUGUGAGUCAGCUAUAUGUAUACAUA